Molecule: ribosomal RNA, 483 nt
Filed under: uncultured bacterium
Lineage: Bacteria
Description: partial 16S ribosomal RNA
Rfam family: Bacterial small subunit ribosomal RNA
Source: RNAcentral
GACGAACGCUGGCGGCGUGCUUUACACAUGCAAGUCGAACGGUGAAGGUGGAGCUUGCUCCGCCGGAUCAGUGGCGAACGGGUGAGUAACACGUGGGCAACCUGCCCCUAACUUUGGGAUAACUACUCGAAAGAGUAGCUAAUACCGGAUAUGAAGUCUGUAGGCAUCUACGGACUUGGAAAGUUUUUCGGUUAGGGAUGGGCCCGCGGCCUAUCAGCUUGUGGGUGAGGUAGUGGUUCACCAAGGCGACGACGGGUAGCCGGCCUGGGAGGGCGAACGGCCCUACUAGGACUGAGACACGGCGCAGUCUCCUACGGGAGGCAGCAGUGGCGAAUAUUGCGCAAUGGGCGAAAGCCUGACGCAGCAACGCCGCGUGCGGGAUGAAGGCCUUCGGGUUGUAAACCGCUUUCAGCAGGGAAGAAGCGAAAGUGACGGUACCUGCAGAAGAAGCACCGGCUAACUACGUGCCAGCCGCCGCGGUAA